UACGAAGGGUCCAAGCGUUAUCCGGAUUUAUUGGGUUUAAAGGGUGCGUAGGCGGCGCGGUAAGUCGGGUGUGAAAUCUCGGAGCUUAACUCCGAAACUGCAUUCGAUACUGCCGUGCUUGAGGACUGGAGAGGAGACUGGAGUUUACGGUGUAGCGGUGAAAUGCGUAGAUAUCUGGAGGAACACCGGUGGCGAAGGCGGCAUCCUGGACCGGCAUUGACGCUGAGGCGCGAAAGCCAGGGGAGCAAACGGG
This 253-nucleotide ribosomal RNA is filed under the name uncultured bacterium. RNAcentral describes it as "partial 16S ribosomal RNA". It matches the Rfam family "Bacterial small subunit ribosomal RNA", at positions 524 to 776 of the family's 1533-position model. The record is from RNAcentral.